RNAcentral lists this long non-coding RNA (942 nucleotides) under Numida meleagris (helmeted guineafowl). Its description in RNAcentral is "lncRNA (ENSNMEG00000002334.1)". Lineage: Eukaryota; Metazoa; Chordata; Aves; Galliformes; Numididae. The record is from RNAcentral.
CUGUCAUCAUACGUGUCACGCGUGUCACACGUGGCAACACGUGGCGUCAUACGUGGCGUCAUGUGGGUCGUAUGGGGCAACAUGUGUCGUCCUACGUGUCAUCUGUGUCAUCAUACGUGUCAUCAUACGUGUCAUCUGUGUUGGACGUGUCAUCAUGUGUCAUCAUACGUGUCAUCAUAUGUGUCAUCUGUGUCAGACGUGUCAUCAUGUGUCAUCAUACAUGACAUCAUGUGUGUUCUAUGUGUCAUACGGGGCAACAUGUGUCAUCAUACGUGUAAUGUGUGUUAUCAUACGUGUCACGUGUGUCACACAUGGCAACACGUGUCAUCAUACAUGACAUCAUGUGCGUUGUGCGUGUCAUACGUGGCAACAUGUGUCAUCAUACGUGUCACGUGUGUCAUCCACGCCGUCACACGUGUCAUCCCGUGUUGCGCGUGCCCUCCGUGCCCUCACGUCACCACGCCGCAUGUCAUACGUGUUAUCCCAUGUGUUGUAUGUGCCCCACGUGUGCCCCCAUGCCGUCCUUGUCACACGGGCUGCGCGUGUCAUCCGUGCCACGCGUGUCAUCAUCCGUGUUACCCCGCGUUGCGUGUGCCAUGCACGUCACGCGUGUCACACGUGUCCCAUGCGUGCUGACACGCCACCGCACGCGCAUCACACGCGUGUGUGUGCGCGCCACGCGUGUCCCGCGUUGUGUCGGACGUGGCACCACGCGUGUCGCCAUGCCCGGCGUCGCGUGACACGCGUGUCCCGCGCGCCGCGCCGCGGCUGACACACACACACAUGCGCGUGUGCUGCCUGGCAGGGGCGGUGUCGUGCUCCCCGGAUCAGUUCGACUGCGGCGACGCCGUGGGCCGCGAGCGCUGCGUGCCGCUCACCUGGCGCUGCGACGGGCACCGCGACUGCGGCGGCGGAAGCGACGAGGACGGAUGCGGUGAGAGA